GAUGAACGCUGGCGGCGUGCCUAAUACAUGCAAGUCGAGCGAACAGACGAGGAGCUUGCUCCUCUGACGUUAGCGGCGGACGGGUGAGUAACACGUGGAUAACCUACCUAUAAGACUGGGAUAACUUCGGGAAACCGGAGCUAAUACCGGAUAAUAUAUUGAACCGCAUGGUUCAAUAGUGAAAGACGGUUUUGCUGUCACUUAUAGAUGGAUCCGCGCCGCAUUAGCUAGUUGGUAAGGUAACGGCUUACCAAGGCAACGAUGCGUAGCCGACCUGAGAGGGUGAUCGGCCACACGGGAACUGAGACACGGUCCAGACUCCUACGGGAGGCAGCAGUAGGGAAUCUUCCGCAAUGGGCGAAAGCCUGACGGAGCGACGCCGCGUGAGUGAUGAAGGUCUUCGGAUCGUAAAACUCUGUUAUGAGGGAAGAACAAAUGUGUAAGUAACUAUGCACGUCUUGACGGUACCUAAUCAGAAAGCCACGGCUAACUACGUG
Molecule: ribosomal RNA, 497 nt
Filed under: uncultured bacterium
Lineage: Bacteria
Description: partial 16S ribosomal RNA
Rfam family: Bacterial small subunit ribosomal RNA
Source: RNAcentral